CAAAAUAUAGCUUAACCAAAGCCCCUCGCUUACACCGAGAAAAUAUCCGUGAAAAUCAGAUUAUUUUGA
RNAcentral lists this transfer RNA (69 nucleotides) under Limnonectes kiziriani. Its description in RNAcentral is "tRNA-Val". It matches the Rfam family "tRNA". Rfam says of the family: Transfer RNA (tRNA) molecules are approximately 80 nucleotides in length. Their secondary structure includes four short double-helical elements and three loops (D, anti-codon, and T loops). Further hydrogen bonds mediate the characteristic L-shaped molecular structure. tRNAs have two regions of fundamental functional importance: the anti-codon, which is responsible for specific mRNA codon recognition, and the 3' end, to which the tRNAs corresponding amino acid is attached (by aminoacyl-tRNA synthetases). tRNAs cope with the degeneracy of the genetic code in two manners: having more than one tRNA (with a specific anti-codon) for a particular amino acid; and 'wobble' base-pairing, i.e. permitting non-standard base-pairing at the 3rd anti-codon position. The record is from RNAcentral. Lineage: Eukaryota; Metazoa; Chordata; Amphibia; Anura; Dicroglossidae. RNAcentral also lists the same sequence under 1 other name.